This is a non-coding RNA of Xyrichtys novacula (pearly razorfish), 352 nucleotides long. The record is from the annotation of a GenBank genome assembly. Lineage: Eukaryota; Metazoa; Chordata; Actinopteri; Labriformes; Labridae.
GAUUUCUAUGCCACCCACCCAGGUAAACCAGGUAGAACGCUAAGAGGCAUUCCUUGAGGGGAGGAUACUGUGAGGGUUUUGAGUUUAUGCAGCAUUUGGGUUUCCUGUGUUCCUCUCCUCUGUGUGUGUUCUCCCUCUCACUCUCUCUCUGCAGCGCUGGAGGCACGGCGGGAGGCGGGGCCGGCCCGGGCUGAUUGCACUCACCUGAUUCUCGUUGUUGUCAGUUACCUGGCUUUAUAUGCCAGCCCCUCUGUCGACUCAGUGCCGGAUGAUUUCUCAGUCAUGCAACACAUGCAACAGGAAAUGCACAGCAUUGCAAAAAGUAGUCAGUUCAGCAUUUAAUACACUACAG